Non-coding RNA from Acanthosepion pharaonis, 113 nucleotides. NCBI's taxonomy places the organism in Eukaryota, Metazoa, Mollusca, Cephalopoda, Sepiida, Sepiidae. The record is from the annotation of a GenBank genome assembly.
AUACGGCCACAUCACGUUCAAACACAGGUUACCUUACGAUCACCGAGGUUAAGCAACGUCGAGCUUGGUCAGUACCUAGAUGAGUGACCACUUGGAAAUACCAGGUGCUGUCA